This 2430-nucleotide ribosomal RNA is filed under the name Triticum aestivum (bread wheat). Its description in RNAcentral is "partial small subunit ribosomal RNA". Lineage: Eukaryota; Viridiplantae; Streptophyta; Magnoliopsida; Poales; Poaceae. The record is from RNAcentral.
AUGGGGGUCGAUCGUAGCAUCGAUGCCCAGCCUGAGGCUGAUUCACACGGAAAGAAGCGGCUAGUCUGGAGCUGGAGGGUUCCUGUCCAAAGCAUCCAGUUCUUGCAUGCGUUGGCCGUCUCCGGCUGCAAGCAAAGCAAGCAAGCUGCGCCAGUCCAAGCAAGGAAUCGAGCGCCCGAGUUCCAUCUGUUUGUUUUGUUGCCUUAUAAAUUGAGCAACAUGAGGGCGCUGAGGGAUCGUGGAGACUGCGUCGUCUGCGCCGACUUGCCGAACUACCCUACCACCACUCAACACAGCUUGGAGGAUGUUGGAAAGUUGUGGAUGGAAUGGGGGAUCCAUGGCUUGAUACUUGUAAGCUUUGGCCUGCAAGUAUUCCUCUUCUUCGCCGCAGGCCUACGCAGGCGUAGCACGUCGCGCAUCCUCAUGUCACUCCUAUGGCUGGCCUACUUGUCGGCCGAUUCUGUAGCCAUUUUCAUCCUAGGCCAUCUUUCUGUCCAUGCAAGCGGGCCACGCCACCAACUCCUUUUCUUGUGGGCACCCUUCGUGCUCCUUCACCUAGGCGGACAACAAACCAUCACUGCCUUCUCCAUGAAGGACAAUGAGUUGUGGAGGCGCCACUUGUUGGGAUUAGUCACCCAAGUAGUGGUGGCCGGCUAUGUCGUAACCAGGCCGUCUUGGGCGGAUAAGCGGCUCCUGGCUGCCAUGGUGCUCAUGUUCCUCUCUGGGUGCUUGAGGUAUGGUGAGCGUAGCUUGUGCCUUUACAGAGCAAGCCCAACGAAUCUCAAGGAAUCUUCGUUGGAUGUCUUGAGAAAUUACGCAAAGCGGGAUCGGGAUCAGGAAGAAAAUGAUGACGGAGAUGAUGGAGAUUUUAUAUCCCGUUUGUUUUCGCCCGACAAUAGAAAAUUGAAUUAUGAGAGUUAUCAAGUCACAAUUGAUAGGAUGCUUAAAGCCGAUAUGAUGCGGCCUCCAUCGCAUGAAUCUUUUGAGAUCUCAACAAGUGCGGCCGCACUAGUAUCAGAGACUCCACUCAGUACUUUAGCUACUACCAAAUCUUUGCCUGGCGACAUACAACACAGUAUCCAAGAGCUCAAAUUGAAUGAAGAUCGUUGCAGGGCCUAUAAUUACGUUGCCACACGACUCACUCAUAUAUAUGAACUCCUCUAUACUAAAGCCCCACGUCAUUCCAUUCUCUUGGAGAUUGUGUUCGGAUGUGCCAGCAUCGGAGUAUUCUUACUUAAGAAUAUACCAAUCCGAUGCCCGACUUACUGUAUCCCUUUCUGUACUGUAUUUAUCAUCCUCUGUAUUCCAUUUGUCGCCCUCUAUUAUCUAUUUUUUGUUCUUCUUUUUUUCCUACUUGUUCUCUUCCCAAUUCUUUCAACCUCGGCAACACUGGUGCUCUUCAUGGUUGCCAAAAAAAGCCAACUCUACAGUCAAGCCGAUGUCAUUGUGUCCUACAUAUUGCUCAUAGGGGCCGUAAAUCUAGAGGUGGCGUCCCUCUUCAUCACCUUUGCAUUGAGUCGAGAAGCUCCCCGUAGGAUUCGAAGUGCAAUAUGGACUUUUGCCAAAUAUAUUUAUCCUGCAUGGGGUACAAAACAGUGGUCUGAGAUGCUAGGACAAUACAACAUGAUCAACAGUGUUACCAAACAGCAUGCUACAUAUAUCAGGUCAUUUGUUUCCCAGUGGAUUGGUAAGCAUCUAGGUGACGAGACAAUAGCACACAUCCCCAUAUAUGAUGACCUCAAGAAGUUUGUCCUUGACAAAUUGUUGGAAUUUGGAACAAAGCCCGAAGAUUGGAACUUUGCCAGCUUUCGUGGACAAUUAGCACUUCGAGACUUAAAGAGUAGGCAUGGGAUAUUCUCAUUUUUAUUACCUGCAAGGUCCGAAACACAUCUACACAAGAGCAUCAAUGAUGUGGACUUCCCAACAACUGUGUUGAUCUGGCACAUCGCAACAGACAUAUUAUACUUCAAAGACACCAACAACAUCGAUUCUUGUGAGCAAAUGAAGACGAUGAGCAGAGAGCUAUCAAAUUAUAUCAUGUACCUUGUCUUCAAGUGCGGUGUGACGCUUACAAACACCACCCAACUCCAACAUGAUAAUGCUCUUAGGGUUAUGGAGGUCAAUCGAGACCUAGGUGAGAAGGGUGCCAUGAAGAAGGUGUUUCAAGCUAACCAACACCAGAAGUGGACAUCAGAAACUCCCAUUCCUCCACUGUUGCCUCGUGCAUGUCAAGUGGCCCAGGAGCUCAUUGACAUCAGUGGAGAAGCUAAGCGCUGGGACCUUAUCGCUGCGGUUUGGUUGGAGAUGCUUUACUAUGUCGCGCCUCGUUGCGGAGGUGCUUUCCAUUCUGAGCAUCUAGCUACUGGUGGGGAGUUCAUCACACAUGUCCUCCUCCUCAUGCAACAUCUAGGUCCUUUUGUAAAACCAUGA